Molecule: non-coding RNA, 464 nt
Organism: Xyrichtys novacula (pearly razorfish)
Lineage: Eukaryota; Metazoa; Chordata; Actinopteri; Labriformes; Labridae
Source: the annotation of a GenBank genome assembly
AAAGACCCGAGUUUCCAGACUUGUCAACACCCAGUCCUGCAGUUACUAUCUGACCUCCAGCUAAACCACUCUGCUCCUCCACACCCUCCUGAGUAAACCCAGUUUAAGCUCAAGUUCCGGAGGACAAUUCCAUUAACAUCCGCCUCAUGUUACUCCCAACACGAGACCACCCAACAUGGCUAAUCUGAGGAGGCAGACAUGUCGUCUGAUUAAUGUCGGCGCAGGUUUACUUUCUCAGCUUUGUCUCUCGGUGCUGAGCCCGUUCCUGUGAGCGUCCAUUCGCACAGAGCUCACACAGGCCGGCCUUCCUCCUGAGGUAAUUAUGACCACAGCUUGCAUGGAGGCAUAUCAUUAGCAGUAAUUGCACACAGCAUCCCUCUGCCAUGUGCCUCCCUGUUUUUUUUUGUCCCAGAUUUAGACUGCACUGAACCAUGAAGGAGCAGAGUUUCUGGGUGUUAUACAGG